Molecule: non-coding RNA, 110 nt
Organism: Acanthosepion pharaonis
Lineage: Eukaryota; Metazoa; Mollusca; Cephalopoda; Sepiida; Sepiidae
Source: the annotation of a GenBank genome assembly
ACGGUAACAUCAAUUUGAAACAACAGUUCCCGUCCAAUCACCAAAGUUAAGUAACGUCAAAUCUGGUCAGUACUUAGAUGGGUAACCGUAUGGGAAUACCAGGUGCUGUG